UACGAAGGGAGCGAGCGUUGUUCGGAUUUACUGGGCGUAAAGGGCGCGCAGGCGGUCUUGAAAGUCAGGCGUGAAAGCCCCGGGCUUAACCUGGGAAUUGCGCUUGAUACUCUGAGACUGGAGUACGGGAGAGGAGAGUGGAAUUCCCAGUGUAGAGGUGAAAUUCGUAGAUAUUGGGAAGAACACCAGUGGCGAAGGCGGCUCUCUGGACCGUAACUGACGCUGAGGCGCGAAAGCGUGGGGAGCAAACAGG
Molecule: ribosomal RNA, 253 nt
Filed under: uncultured bacterium
Lineage: Bacteria
Description: partial 16S ribosomal RNA
Rfam family: Bacterial small subunit ribosomal RNA
Source: RNAcentral